GUGGAUUAGAUACCCUGGUAGUCCUAGCCGUAAACGAUGGGCACUAGGUGUGGGGGGUCAUCGACUCCCUCCGUGCCGCAGCUAACGCAUUAAGUGCCCCGCCUGGGGAGUACGGCCGCAAGGUUAAAACUCAAAGGAAUUGACGGGGGCCCGCACAAGCAGCGGAGCAUGUGGCUUAAUUCGACGCAACGCGAAGAACCUUACCAAGGCUUGACAUGCAAGUGAAGCGGCGGAAACGCCGUGGCCGAGAGGAGCUUGCACAGGUGGUGCACGGCUGUCGCCAACU
RNAcentral lists this ribosomal RNA (286 nucleotides) under uncultured bacterium. RNAcentral's name for it is "partial 16S ribosomal RNA". It matches the Rfam family "Bacterial small subunit ribosomal RNA", at positions 773 to 1060 of the family's 1533-position model. The record is from RNAcentral.